UAAAUUCUCAAUCCUCCUUGGUUUUUCCAAAGGGGGCUUGGAUUGUGGAGGUUGUUGCAGGCCAGACAGGUUAGCUCCUCUGAAAUGCAUUAGCGGAACCAUUUUGUGAUCCAUCACAGGUGUGAUAAUUAUCUAUGCCUAUGGGAUUGCUCUUUGAUUGUUCAGCUACAAAUUGUCCAUAGGACAGCUUACUGAAC
Molecule: unclassified non-coding RNA, 197 nt
Filed under: uncultured Agaricaceae
Lineage: Eukaryota; Fungi; Basidiomycota; Agaricomycetes; Agaricales; Agaricaceae
Description: sequence contains ITS2
Source: RNAcentral